RNAcentral lists this ribosomal RNA (438 nucleotides) under uncultured bacterium. RNAcentral's name for it is "partial 16S ribosomal RNA". It matches the Rfam family "Bacterial small subunit ribosomal RNA", at positions 338 to 795 of the family's 1533-position model. The record is from RNAcentral.
CCUACGGGAGGCAGCAGUGGGGGAUAUUGCACAAUGGGGGAAACCCUGAUGCAGCGACGCCGCGUGAGUGAAGAAGUAUUUCGGUCUGUAAAGCUCUAUCAGCAGGGAAGAAAUGACAGUACCUGACCAAGAAGCCCCGGCUAACUACGUGCCAGCAGCCGCGGUAAUACGGAGGAUGCGAGCGUUAUCCGGAUUUAUUGGGUUUAAGGGGUGCGCAGGCGGUCUGUACAGUCAGCGGAAAAAGCCCGGGGCUCAACCCCGGCCCGCCGUUGAAACUGGCAGUCUCGAGUUGGAGAGAAGUAUGCGGAAUGCGCGGUGUAGCGGUGAAAUGCAUAGAUAUCGCGCAGAACUCCGAUUGCGAAGGCAGCAUGCCGGCUCCACACUGACGCUGAGGCACGAAAGCGUGGGUAUCGAACAGGAUUAGAUACCCCAGUAGUC